This is a long non-coding RNA of Oryzias latipes (Japanese medaka), 971 nucleotides long. RefSeq lists it as uncharacterized. The record is from RefSeq and is a predicted model, not a curated record. Lineage: Eukaryota; Metazoa; Chordata; Actinopteri; Beloniformes; Adrianichthyidae.
ACAGUUAGGUGCUGCAUAGGCCUUAUGGGAGCUGUGCUGCUUUCGGCCUGAACGCACCAGGAUGUUUAAAAGUUCACAUGUUCGGCUGUUACCUUCACGAUGACGGCUUUGCGUCCGGCGUAGCGUCCAGCCAGGACCAUCACCACCUUCCCAGGCUUCAUAAACUUGCCCAUUUCUGCCAGGAAAUGGAACAGUCAACAUCACGCCACCAAAGUCAUCACAGGAGCUCUUCCAUUUGUGGGUUGCGGCUGCUGCCUCUGUCCACCAUCUGACAGGAGAGGGUUCCCCACCUCAUCUUUGGGGGGAAAAAAAGAAGGAAUCAAAGUUUAGCCAGAAAUCUCACCGAGUUCUCCAGCUGCUCUGCAUCCGACUUGCAGCCCACGACGUGCGGGCAGCCUCUGAAGGCGAACUCCUCCAGCUCGGCCAGCAUCCUCUCCUUCUCCUCGCUCUGCGCGUGAACGAUCUGCUUCAGUCGGAACUGAACCUGCGCGAAGUGAGAGGUGAGCGCGAGCAGGGACGAGUUCAGCUGCUCCUGCUCGCCCUCCAGCUUCCUCAGCCGCGCGGCCAUCUCCCCCUCGCCAGCCGAGACUCCCUGCUUCGGCUGGCCGCUGCCCCCGCUCUCAACCUCGGGGCUGGCCACGGCUCCCACCGGUGCCCAUCGCUCCCCUGCGUUGGCGAAAACGGCCUCGCUGUCAGACGCUGACAGCUCCUCCGUGGACAUUUUUGGAAUUCACGCAGAUUUGUUGUCGGUAAAUCACGAACAGCGAGCUCCAGAUGGAAGGUUUCCUAAAGUUGAGGUAACAGCGGGGAUAACCGCCCGGGGAACAGGUGCAUCGCCAUUUUGGGAAAAUGAUACGUCACAGCGCCAGAAGGUAAUCCUGAUUGAACGUCAGCAGAAAAACGGAAGUAAUGUGCGAUCGCCUUCAGAAUAAAAUCUCCAACUUCCUUUGAAUGACGCUACCAACCCCCUA